RNAcentral lists this ribosomal RNA (582 nucleotides) under uncultured fungus. Its description in RNAcentral is "eukaryotic LSU rRNA". The stretch from base 217 to 370 matches the Rfam family "5.8S ribosomal RNA". Lineage: Eukaryota; Fungi. The record is from RNAcentral.
CUUGGUCAUUUAGAGGAAGUAAAAGUCGUAACAAGGUCUCCGUUGGUGAACCAGCGGAGGGAUCAUUACCGAGUUUACAACUCCCAAACCCCUGUGAACAUACCACUUGUUGCCUCGGCGGAUCAGCCCGCUCCCGGUAAAACGGGACGGCCCGCCAGAGGACCCCUAAACUCUGUUUCUAUAUGUAACUUCUGAGUAAAACCAUAAAUAAAUCAAAACUUUCAACAACGGAUCUCUUGGUUCUGGCAUCGAUGAAGAACGCAGCAAAAUGCGAUAAGUAAUGUGAAUUGCAGAAUUCAGUUAAUCAUCGAAUCUUUGAACGCACAUUGCGCCCGCCAGUAUUCUGGCGGGCAUGCCUGUUCGAGCGUCAUUUCAACCCUCAAGCACAGCUUGGUGUUGGGACUCGCGUUAAUUCGCGUUCCUCAAAUUGAUUGGCGGUCACGUCGAGCUUCCAUAGCGUAGUAGUAAAACCCUCGUUACUGGUAAUCGUCGCGGCCACGCCGUUAAACCCCAACUUCUGAAUGUUGACCUCGGAUCAGGUAGGAAUACCCGCUGAACUUAAGCAUAUCAAUAAGCGGAGGA